CAUGGAUCUGAACUUAGACGGGACUACCCGCUGAACUUAAGCAUAUCAAUAAGCGGAGGA
RNAcentral lists this ribosomal RNA (60 nucleotides) under Rhizomucor miehei. Its description in RNAcentral is "partial 28S ribosomal RNA". It matches the Rfam family "Eukaryotic large subunit ribosomal RNA", at positions 1 to 57 of the family's 3401-position model. The record is from RNAcentral. Lineage: Eukaryota; Fungi; Mucoromycota; Mucoromycetes; Mucorales; Lichtheimiaceae.